CGUUUUCAAAGGUCUAUUUUCUGUUGUUUAAAGCAGAACAGUGAACUGCGUGUCUGUCUUCAAUGAGUAUACACUGAAAUAACAACAGGUUUUGCAAGAUAACCAAUAGCAUUGACUACAUUAUCUAGAGACAUAGCUGAUUUCCCUCUUAAGGUCGAGACAUGGAAAGGACAGGGAAUAAAGUGUCCACCAUCUCCCCACAAAAACAGACAGUGAAAAAUAGAUCCAAGUCCACAGAGGAGGUACAGCAAGCCAAAAAGGCCUUUCAUACACCACAAAAAUCUCUUCCGGCUAAACCAGAAACCAAACAACUUGAGGUAAACAUGAAAUGACAGAUUAUGGGCUGCUUUAAAGCUUGACUUUGA
RNAcentral lists this long non-coding RNA (365 nucleotides) under Sinocyclocheilus anshuiensis. RNAcentral describes it as "lncRNA (ENSSANG00000001682.1)". Lineage: Eukaryota; Metazoa; Chordata; Actinopteri; Cypriniformes; Cyprinidae. The record is from RNAcentral.